This 477-nucleotide ribosomal RNA is filed under the name uncultured bacterium. RNAcentral describes it as "bacterial SSU rRNA". It matches the Rfam family "Bacterial small subunit ribosomal RNA", at positions 15 to 518 of the family's 1533-position model. The record is from RNAcentral.
GAUCAUGGCUCAGAACGAACGCUGGCGGCAGGCUUAACACAUGCAAGUUGAACGGGAUUGGUUGAUAGCUUGCUAUUAAUCAUGAGAGUAGCGCACUGGUGAGUAACACGUGGGAACAUGCCUUUUGGUGGGGGACAACAGUUGGAAACGACUGCUAAUACCGCAUAAGCCCUGAGGGGGAAAGAUUAAUUGCCGAAAGAUUGGCCCGCGGAAGAUUAGGUAGUAGGUGGGGUAACGGCCUACCUAGCCGACGAUCUAUAGCUGGUCUGAGAGGACGAUCAGCCACAUUGGAACUGAGACACGGUCCAGACUCCUACGGGAGGCAGCAGUGAGGAAUAUUGGGCAAUGGAGGGAACUCUGAACCCCAGCCAUGCCGCGUGAGUGAAGAAGGUUUUCGGAUUGUAAAGCUCUUUCGGACGGGAAGAUGAUGACGGUACCGUCUAAAGAAGCACCGGCUAACUUCGUGCCAGCAGCGGC